Molecule: ribosomal RNA, 240 nt
Filed under: uncultured bacterium
Lineage: Bacteria
Description: partial 16S ribosomal RNA
Rfam family: Bacterial small subunit ribosomal RNA
Source: RNAcentral
AAUCCUGGCUCAGGAUGAACGCUAGCUACAGGCUUAACACAUGCAAGUCGAGGGGCAGCAUGAAAGGAACUUCGGUUCUUUUUGAUGGCGACCGGCGCACGGGUGCGUAACGCGUAUCGAACCUGCCUCAUACUCGGGGAUAGCCUUGCGAAAGUAAGAUUAAUACCCGGCGGUCUCGGACGGCCGCAUGACAGUCCGAGUGAAGAUUUAUCGGUAUGAGAUGGCGAUGCGUCCCAUCAG